CGGAGGAUGCGAGCGUUAUCCGGAUUUAUUGGUUUAAAGGGUGCGUAGGCGGAUAGAUAAGUCAGUGGUGAAAUUCUGCAGCUUAACUGUAGACUUGCCGUUGAUACUGUCAGUCUUGAGUAUGGUCAAGGCAGGCGGAAUGUGUAAUGUAGCGGUGAAAUGCUUAGAUAUUACACAGAACACCGAUUGCGAAGGCAGCUUGCUGGGCCAUUACUGACGCUGAUGCACGAAAGCGUGGGGAUCGAACAGGAUUAGAUACCCUGGUAGUCCACGCCGUAAACGAUGAUCACUCGCUGUUGGCGAUACACAGUCAGCGGCUAAGCAAAAGCAUUAAGUGAUCCACCUGGGGAGUACGGCCGCAAGGCUGAAACUCAAAGGAAUUGACGGGGGCCCGCACAAGCGGAGGAACAUGUGGUUUAAUUCGAUGAUACGCGAGGAACCUUACCUGGGCUUAAAUGUAGAGUGCAUUGGUGAGAAAUCAUCAUUUUCUUCGGAACUCUCUGCAAGGUGCUGCAUGGUUGUCGUCAGCUCGUGCCGUGAGGUGUCGGGUUAAGUCCCAUAACGAGCGCAACCCUUAUCGUUAGUUGCCAGCGGGUAAUGCCGGGGACUCUAGCGAAACUGCCGGUGUAAACCGAGAGGAAGGUGGGGAUGACGUCAAAUCAGCACGGCCCUUAUGUCCAGGGCUACACACGUGUUACAAUGGCCGGUACAGAGGGCAGCUACCUGGAGACAGGAUGCGAAUCUCGAAAGCCGGUCUCAGUUCGGAUCGGAGUCUGCAACUCGACUCCGUGAAGCUGGAUUCGCUAGUAAUCGCGCAUCAGCCAUGGCGCGGUGAAUACGUUCCCGGGCCUUGUACACACCGCCCGUAGAGUUUGAUCAUGGCUCAGGCUGCACACACCGCCCGU
Molecule: ribosomal RNA, 905 nt
Filed under: uncultured bacterium
Lineage: Bacteria
Description: bacterial SSU rRNA
Rfam family: Bacterial small subunit ribosomal RNA
Source: RNAcentral